AUCCGAUACCCCAGCUGACGAUACCUACUUGCGUCCAGCGUCCAUCGUUGACCAUCAGAGGUCCUCCGCUAUCACCCUACAAUUCAGAAAAUCUCUUCCUGCGCACAAGAAGCUAUCAACGAUGCCGCCAGGUGCCGCUGCGCCGUAUUUCACCUUGCACUCGCUGUUGGGCCAGAUGGGUAUCGAAACUUCCUGAAGAAUUGCUGGUUGUGGUCCACCUGGAUAGAGUUCUCAUAAAACAGAUCCCCAGCCAAUCACCGUGGCAACCUUUCCAGAAUACAGUUGUGAACCACUCGGCAGACAGAUGGGACGUAUUUGGUCUGUGAAAGGAACUGGUUCGUUGAGAGUAAGCAGAGCAAUGUCGUUGUAAAGGAAUAUUCCCCUUAAAUAGCCUUGAACAACCAGUUAAUGAAAUUGCCUGGUCAUCGAAAGGAAAAAAUUGAAGAUGAAGAGCUCCAAGAUCCAGCCGAUAAUUUUAUCAUGCGGUGCGUCCAUCAGAGACUUAC
Molecule: long non-coding RNA, 506 nt
Organism: Megachile rotundata (alfalfa leafcutting bee)
Lineage: Eukaryota; Metazoa; Arthropoda; Insecta; Hymenoptera; Megachilidae
Source: RefSeq, a predicted model, not a curated record